CCUACGGGUGGCAGCAGUGAGGAAUAUUGGUCAAUGGACGAGAGUCUGAACCAGCCAAGUAGCGUGAAGGAUGACUGCCCUAUGGGUUGUAAACUUCUUUUAUAUAGGAAUAAAAUGUUCCACGUGUGGGCUUUUGUAUGUACCAUAUGAAUAAGGAUCGGCUAACUCCGUGCCAGCAGCCGCGGUAAUACGGAGGAUCCGAGCGUUAUCCGGAUUUAUUGGGUUUAAAGGGAGCGUAGGUGGAUUGUUAAGUCAGUUGUGAAAGUUUGCGGCUCAACCGUAAAAUUGCAGUUGAAACUGGCAGUCUUGAGUACAGUAGAGGUAGGCGGAAUUCGUGGUGUAGCGGUGAAAUGCUUAGAUAUCACGAAGAACUCCGAUUGCGAAGGCAGCUCACUGGACUGCAACUGACAUUGAGGCUCGAAAGUGUGGGUAUCAAACAGGAUUAGAUACCCUAGUAGUC
Molecule: ribosomal RNA, 460 nt
Filed under: uncultured bacterium
Lineage: Bacteria
Description: partial 16S ribosomal RNA
Rfam family: Bacterial small subunit ribosomal RNA
Source: RNAcentral